Molecule: ribosomal RNA, 480 nt
Filed under: Acetobacterium bakii
Lineage: Bacteria; Bacillati; Bacillota; Clostridia; Eubacteriales; Eubacteriaceae
Description: bacterial SSU rRNA
Rfam family: Bacterial small subunit ribosomal RNA
Source: RNAcentral
ACAGGUGGUGCAUGGUUGUCGUCAGCUCGUGUCGUGAGAUGUUGGGUUAAGUCCCGCAACGAGCGCAACCCCUGUGGUUAGUUGCCAUCAUUUAGUUGGGCACUCUAAGCAGACUGCCGUGGAUAACACGGAGGAAGGUGGGGAUGACGUCAAAUCAUCAUGCCCCUUAUGACCUGGGCUACACACGUGCUACAAUGGUCUGAACAGAGGGCUGCGAGACCGCAAGGUGAAGCCAAUCCCUUAAAACAGAUCUCAGUUCGGAUUGCAGGCUGAAACUCGCCUGCAUGAAGUUGGAGUUGCUAGUAAUCGCGGAUCAGAAUGCCGCGGUGAAUGCGUUCCCGGGUCUUGUACACACCGCCCGUCACACCACGAGAGUUGGCAACACCCGAAGUCAGUGAGACAACCGUAAGGAGUCAGCUGCCGAAGGUGGGGUCGGUAAUUGGGGUGAAGUCGUAACAAGGUAGCCGUAUCGGAAGGUGC